GGAUAAUAAUAGUCGUCGCAGGAUAAUAAUGGUAUAUUUGGUAAUGCUAUAAGAAUGAUGACCUACUUAUAUGAUACAAAAUUACAAUUCUUAUGUACAUCCCUGACAUGGCCUCGACAACACUCGCUUAAGUUAGGUACACACACACACACACACACACACACACACACACACACACACACACACACACAUACAUACACGUCUGGCACACCGCACAUACACAUACACGCAUACAUAAUAGCUGCAUAUUUAUUUUUAUUUAACAUUACUAUUAUUUAUAUUACCUUUAAACGGUGCGCACGCAGACCUAUGACGAACAUUCUAUCGUCGAUACGUUCAUAAUUUUUCGUGCAAUAAAUUAAAUGAUAAACAAUUCUACCAUUAUCAUUAUUUUAUGUGAUUUUUUAACGCUUCCUGUUUCAUCUCCUCACUUUAUUUCUUUACUAUUUUGGUCUCACUAUAAAUUUAGCUUCCUUUGAUAUAUAUAAAAAAACACUAAUUUUUUCCCUAGCUCACGAAAAUUACUUUAUAUUCCUACACACAAGUUCUCGUAAUACUCAGCCUAAGUAGCGAUAGUAGUGGCAAUAGUUGUAGUAAUAAUAGUAGAAGUAGUAGUAGUAGUAGUAGCGCUGCAAAGACUACGCGAAACAGCAAGUCUAAUGUUGCCUCGAUCAGCGGCCUUGAGGAAGAAUGGCUGACUCAAUGAAAAGGUGUGAAGGGAAAAAAAUGCCGUAAAAAUGAAGAGAAAAAAUCUUGAAUAUGAAGAAUGUGAAAAGGAACGUAAAAGGAAAGUCAGGUUGAGUGAAAAUGAACAAAUUGGGGAAAUCUUGAAUAUGAAGAAUGUGAAAAGGAACAUAAAAGGAAAGUCAGGUUGAGUGAAAAUGAACAAAUUGGGGAAAUCUUGAAUAUGAAGAAUGUGAAAAGGAACAUAAAAGGAAAGUCAGGUUGAGUGAAAAUGAACAAAUUGGGGAAAUCUUGAAUAUGAAGAAUGUGAAAAGGAACAUAAAAGGAAAGUCAGGUUGAGUGAAAAUGAACAAAUUGGGGAAAUCUUGAAUAUGAAGAAUGUGAAAAGGAACAUAAAAGGAAAGUCAGGUUGAGUGAAAAUGAACAAAUUGGGGAAAUCUUGAAUAUGAAGAAUGUGAAAAGGAACAUAAAAGGAAAGUCAGGUUGAGUGAAAAUGAACAAAUUGGGAUAAUCUUGAAUAUGAAGAAUGUGAAAAGGAACAUAAAAGGAAAGUCAGGUUGAGUGAAAAUGAACAAAUUGGGGAAAUCUUGAAUAUGAAGAAUGUGAAAAGGAACAUAAAAGGAAAGUCAGGUUGAGUGAAAAUGAACAAAUUGGGGAAAUCUUGAAUAUGAAGAAUGUGAAAAGGAACAUAAAAGGAAAGUCAGGUUGAGUGAAAAUGAACAAAUUGGGGAAAUCUUGAAUAUGAAGAAUGUGAAAAGGAACAUAAAAGGAAAGUCAGGUUGAGUGAAAAUGAACAAAUUGGGGAAAUCUUGAAUAUGAAGAAUGUGAAAAGGAACAUAAAAGGAAAGUCAGGUUGAGUGAAAAUGAACAAAUUGUGAAGUCUUGAAUAUUGAAGAAGUUGAAAAAGAAUGUGGAAAACGAAACCAAGACGAAAAAGAUGAGCAGAGUGAGCACAUACACACUAUAUAGGAAGUCUUGUAUGAAAAAAAGGGUUGACUGUUACAAAAAAAAAAAGUAAAAUAAAGAAAUAUAAAUCAAUUGCACUAGAACGUAACCAGACUGAGACUUUCCAAAACAAUAACAACCUUCUGAAUGGUGGACUGUUAUAAAAAGUAAAAUAAAGAAAUAUAAAUCAAUUGCAGUAUAACAUAACCAGACCGAGACUUCUGAAUUCCUCCUCUCACGAAAAAAUAGAAGAUAGCAUUACAUCAGCCUUCAAUACGUAAUCUAUGCCCAAGUAACUACCAAGUAUUGCCUAACCUCGAUAAAGCCAUAAUACUUUCACAUGCUUCCUACUUUUGACAAUCAUAGUACUGGAUCCUCUUCUGUUACUUAUAAGCUUGAUGUUCUUACGUUUCUAGUCUCUCUAAUCUAAAGUUGCAUUCACGUUGCCUAGGAAUUUAUAGACACACAGUUACAAGCUUUUUUACCAGACGUUAGACAGAGAGUAGUAGUAGUAGUAGUAAUGUGUAGGUAGAUAAGUAGAAACAGCAGUAGUAGUAGUAAGUAGGUAGGUGGAUAAGUAGGGAUAGUAGUAGUAAUGAGUAGAUAGAUAAGUAGAAACAGUAUUAGUAUAAGUAGGUAGGUGGCUAAGUAGGGACAGUAGCAGUAGUAGUAGUAGUAGUAGUAGUAGUAGUAGUAGUAGUAGUAGUAGUAGUAGUAGUAGUAGUAGUAGUAGUAGUAGAAGACAGACCUAAUAAAUUUCAAUGCUAUAAUAGCGUUUUGAGGCACAAUUGUCACAGCAGACGUUUUACAGCCUGUCCACACACACACACACACACACACACACACACACACACACUGGCAAGACUCGUACGUAAAGAUAAAACAAGUAGUAGUAUAUAAACAUCAGGCAGUCUUCAUAAUAAUGCUAGAAACACGCACAAUGUCCUCUUCUUCUCUUCCGUUUUCGUUUCCUCGCCUUAACGUGAUAAAUAACUGGUAGCAUAAUAGCGCGGUGUUGGUAUUCACAUAUCUACAGUAUAACACAUUUUUUAUAUCACUUAAUUUACUUAUCUCCAUAUAAAAAAAUCACAUACGUAUAAAAGCCAUAACAAAGACUUCACGCACUCACGUUUUCUUUCUUCGUCUUGACACUUCGAUGCUCAGACGAAGAUUCAUUCACUUCGUUCAGUUUUUAUUCAAUUUAUCUUCUUAUAGAAUCACAUACGUAUAAACUCCAUAACAAAGACUUUAAAACCGCUUCUUUCUUCGUCCUAACACAAGCAGGACAGAAUACAAACUUCGGUACUCUGACGUUCGAAGACUUAUUCAGUUCCUUCUACAACUCCUAGAUGACGCACCUUCGACCUCUCCCUCUCACAAGUAUUGCUGAGUAUACACAAGUGACUGACUGACUGAAGGACUGGGUGGGUAAAGAAUAAGGCCGUGUCACACAAGCACAGAAUCCAGCACAGUAUUUCGAUUUUCUUCUACUAAAGGGGGUCGUAUUAUGAGACAUUAAGCCGCCCAAGAACACAUAUUUGACAAGGCUUUCGUAGGAGUUGUUGGCAUUUUCAGAGGUAGUUUUAUGACCCUGGCGGUAGUUUCAUCCUUCCUCUGUACCCUGAGCCUAAAAAAACACUCAUUAGAACCUGAUUGAUCCCCCUCUUUGACCUUUAGAUAUAGCUGAUGUGAGAAGGCAAAGUGUCUUGUAAUACGACCCAAGGAAUGGCAGAGCAGUAACCCCACGCACCUCUCGCCUUCUCUCACGGCGAUGUUUACCUCACUCAACGUUGCCAGAUGGUCCCACUCAGCCUCUUAUUUUUACCUAUUUACACCUCAAAAUCUGUCUCCUGGGUCCGAAUACCUAGAUUGAUUUAUAGUUAUCGUUACAUUCGUCAAUUUCUGAUGUCUUAUGGUGAUGGUUAAGUGUCAGAAGCCGGUAAAUAUGAUAUGAUAUGUGAUAAUCUGGCACCGUUGACCUCACUGCUUCACAAACCGCUUCGGUGAGGUAAACAACACCGAUACCAAGACCAAGACCUUUUAAUCUAUUGGUCCAGCAAGAGAUUAGGGAAAAAGAAGCAACGGGGAUACAUUUUACAACCAGAAUGAACCUUUUGGGAUAAUCGUAUAGUAUCUCUGCCCUCCUUUCCUUCCCUCAAUAUGAUUUUAACCUUACUGAAGCGUUACAAAUGGCUUAGGUGAGGUGUAUAAAGAGGCUAUUACACUGGGCAAAUGUUCCGUGGAUCUUCAGUCAAACCAUGAUUUCCGCUGGCGUGGUUCUCAUUUUUUUCUUGUUAUUGCUGAUGAUGAUGAUGGUGAGUAAUACCGUCGUCCUUCAGUGAUAUCUACCGAAGCUUUGGAAGAUCGUGGACACGUCAUAAAACUACGGAAAUAUAAGAACCACGCCAGCGGAAAUCAUGGUUUGGCUGAAGAUCCACGGAAAAUUUUCCCAGCGUAAUAGCCCUUUUAGACAGUGAAACAAAGGAAAUAGGCGUUGGGAGUGUACAUUUUUCUACCAGUAAUCGUCUUUUUCCAUGUCCAACGAACUUCCACCUUACAAAUUGCUUUCGUUAGGUGAAGGAGACCAAGAGACAAGGGAAAGAGGCGCAGAGGGAGGAGACAACCACCCAAAGACUCGUGCUGGCGGAGACGAUCAAGGUGUGCCAGAACUGUGAUCGUGUUACAUCGCCUUUAGGGAGUUCGUGGCGGGGAUGAGGAAAAGGAUAAUAAAGGGGACGUACAUAAAAGGAGAGGUUGUGAUUCGAGGCAGGUGAGGGCAGUGACAGGUGAGGCUACAAUUAGUGAGUGUUAGUUUGUUUGUUAGUUAAGUGAGUUUGUGGUAGGGAUGUCGAUAAUAAAGAUAAAGUAUAUUAAUUAAAAGGAAAGGAUGUGAUUCAAGGCAGGUAAGGGCAGUGACAGGUGAGGCUACAAUUAGUGAGUUAGUCAGUUAGUUUGUUAGUUGAGUUUGUGGUUUGUGGUAGGGAUGUGGAUAGUAAAGGUAAGUUAUAUUAAAUAGAAGGAAAGGUUGUGAUUCAAGGCAGGUGAGGGCAGUGUCAGGUGGGAUUUUAAGUAGUUAGUUAGUUAUGAUAGUUAGUGAGUUUGUGGCUAGUGGUGAAGACGAAAAUGAGGAAGAUAAUUGAGGGGAGUAUAUGAAGAGGAAAGGUUGUGAUGCAAGGCAGGUAAGGGCAGUGUCAGGUGAGGCUUUAAUGAGUCAGAUAGUUUGUUAGUGAGUUUGCUUGUUAGUUAGUGAGUUUGUGGUACAUGAAGAGGAUAAGUAAAAUAAUAGAGGGGAGAUACAGUAAGGAGAAAGGUGGUGAUUUAGGCAGGUAAGGGCAGUGUCAGGUAAAUCUCAGUUAGUUAGUUGGUGAGUGAGUGAGUGGUUCGUGGCAGAGAAGGAAAAAGAAAGAGGAAAAAAGAGGAAAGAAGAGGAUAAAUAAGGAGAGGUAGACAGAGAUAAAGGAAAGGUGAUUCAAGGCAGGUGAGGGCAGUGUCAGGUGGGAUUUUAAUUAGUUAGUUAGUUAAUUAUGGUAGUUAGUAAGAUGAGAUGAGGAAGAUAACAGAGGGGAGUAUAUGAAGGGGAAUGUCAAGGGAAGUUUUCAUAAAUAAAGUUAGUUAGUUUGUGGUUCAAGGUAAGGAUGAAGAUGAUAAAGCGAAGGUGUAUCAAGGGGAAGGUUGUGAUUCUAGCAGGUAAGUGAAAUGUCAGGUGAGUCUCAGUGGGUAACCUUUGUGAUUCUUGAGGUAAGUUGACGAUGAAGGUGAAGAGAAAUACUGUGAUUCUUGAGUCCACGCAGAUGAUGGUUACAGAGGAGGAGGAGGAGAAAAAGAAGGAAAUGGAGGAGGAUUGUGAUUCGUAAGUUAGCAAGAGAGAGAGAAAAAAAAAACUUGUAAUUCUUGAGUGUUGAAACAUUAAGAAAAGGAAGAAGAAAAAGAAGAAAGAAAAAAACCAGUCUACUUUCUACUACACACGAAAUGGAAAGAAUUAAAAAGAAAGAAAAAUGCGAAAUGUGAUAGAAAGAAAGGAAGGAAAAAGAAGAAGUAUAUAAAAAAGAAUGAAAAAAACGAAAGAAAAAGAAAAGCAAGAAGGCAAAGUAUAAAAAGGAAAGGAAAAAAGCAAAUUAUAAAAAAAGGAAGGAAAGAAAGAAAGGGAAGACAAAGUACAAAAAAAAAGAAUGAAAAGAAAACGAAGGAAAAAGAUAGAAAAGAAAGAAGGAAACGUAUAAAAAGGGGAGGAAAAAAAAGCAAAUUAUAAAAAAAGGAAGGAAAUAGAAAGAAAGGAAAGACAAGGAAAGACUUUAAGACUUGCACACGACGGGGAAACUAAAUAAUAAUAAUAAUAAUAAUAAUAAUAAUAAUAAUAAUGAUAAUAAUAACAAUAACAACAAUAAUUAUAUAUAUGUAAAGUACAACACCUGUGAUUCUCGAAGACUUGAUGUUUGAAGCCGACUCGAAGCGGCGACCGAAACACACACACACACACACACACACACACACACAAACACAAACACACACAAACACACAUACAAACCACCAUCAUCAUCAUCAUCAUUAUAAUUAUCACAAUCCCUCCAGCGAAUCUUCACAACAACCAGUGAAGAGGAAGAGGAGGAGGAGGAGGAAGACGAGGAAGAAGAGAAGGAAGAAGAAGAGCAUUAGCAAAGGAUGUCAGAUUUACCGUAACAUAACCGCUAUGGUAAUCUGUCUAUCUGUCUGUUCGGUUCCAUAGUAGAAGUAGUAGUAGUAGUAGUAGUAGUAGUAGUAGUAGUAGUAGUAGUAGUUGUUGUUGCUCUCCGCACGUUACAUCAUUCUAUCGUCAACAACAACGAUCCCUUUAGUUUACGACGCUAACAACAAGAAAAAGGAUCGUUCGUAACACCACAAGGUCAACAUUGGAACAUCGAAAGGAAUGAGGCGUUGGAUAUAUUUUGAUUCUCACCUUCUCUGUCUCUAUCUCUCUCUCUUCUUCCUGUCUUUCUUUCUCUCAUAUACACUCACUCACUUUCUCCUCUUUCCGUCUCUCUUAUCUCUAUUCUCUUCUUAUCCUCUUUCUCUCUGUCUGCCUGUUUCUUUAUCUCUAUUUUCUUUCUUAUCUUUCUUCUCUCAUAUACACUCUUAAUUCUCUUCUGCUCUCUCUCUUCCCCUCUCAUUCACUCUUUCCUUCUCUCUCUCUGUCUGUCUGCCUGUUUCUUUAUCUCUAUUUUCUUCCUUAUCUUUCUUCUCUCAUAUACACUCUUGUUCUCUUCUGCUCUCUCUUCUUCUCUCAUUUACUCUUUCCUUCUCUCUCUCUCUCUGUCUGUCUGUCUCUUAUCUCUCUCCUCUUCCCAUCUUUCUCUCUCACAUACCUUCUCAUUCUCUUCUC
This is a long non-coding RNA of Eriocheir sinensis (Chinese mitten crab), 6985 nucleotides long. RefSeq lists it as uncharacterized. The transcript has 3 exons. The record is from RefSeq and is a predicted model, not a curated record. NCBI's taxonomy places the organism in Eukaryota, Metazoa, Arthropoda, Malacostraca, Decapoda, Varunidae.